RNAcentral lists this ribosomal RNA (460 nucleotides) under uncultured bacterium. Its description in RNAcentral is "partial 16S ribosomal RNA". It matches the Rfam family "Bacterial small subunit ribosomal RNA", at positions 338 to 795 of the family's 1533-position model. The record is from RNAcentral.
CCUACGGGAGGCAGCAGUGAGGAAUAUUGGUCAAUGGGCGUAAGCCUGAACCAGCCAAGUCGCGUGAGGGAUGAAGGUUCUCUGGAUCGUAAACCUCUUUUAUCAGGGAAUAAAGUGUGGGACGUGUCCUGUUUUGUCUGUACCUUCUGAAUAAGGAUCGGCUAACUCCGUGCCAGCAGCCGCGGUAAUACGGAGUAUCCGAGCGUUAUCCGGGUUUAUUGGGUUUAAAGGGUGCGUAGGCGGCCUUUUAAGUCAGCGGUGAAAGUCUGUGGCUCAACCAUAGAAUGGCCGUUGAAACUGGGAGGCUUGAGUAUGUUUGAGGCAGGCGGAAUGCGUGGUGUAGCGGUGAAAUGCUUAGAUAUCACGCAGAACCCCGAUUGCGAAGGCAGCCUGCCAAGCCAUGACUGACGCUGAUGCACGAAAGCGUGGGGAUCAAACAGGAUUAGAUACCCGUGUAGUC